CCAUUAUCACAGACUUACCCGCU
RNAcentral lists this non-coding RNA (23 nucleotides) under Arabidopsis thaliana (thale cress). The record is from RNAcentral. Lineage: Eukaryota; Viridiplantae; Streptophyta; Magnoliopsida; Brassicales; Brassicaceae.